This is a long non-coding RNA of Taeniopygia guttata (zebra finch), 9250 nucleotides long. NCBI's taxonomy places the organism in Eukaryota, Metazoa, Chordata, Aves, Passeriformes, Estrildidae. The record is from Ensembl.
UUUUUUUUUAAGCUUCAAGCUGGUAAGUGAUAAUCUGUGCAGACAAGAUACUAGAAAUUUGGCACAUCCCAUCUACCACAACAUAUUGAUUCCUUCUACAGAAGGCACUAAAUACUGGCAUAAACCAAGAAAUGAUCAGCAAAAUGCAGUUUUAGUAUGACACACAAAAAUCCUGCUAACUGGCACAGCUUCACAGUACAAUUUUCACUUACCUAAAAUGGUGGUGAUCAUAGCAGCAAGGCUGAGGAUUUUUACAAGUAUCACGUAAACGUACAAAUGUCAGAACAUCUAGAAGACAUGCAAAAUUUCAAGAGCAACAUCACUGAAUCACACAAUGCAUAGAAUUAUUAUUAAUAUUAUUAUUAUGCAAGAUAGUGUAAUCUUUUUAAUAAACAAAAUAUAUUUUAAAACCUACAAACAGUUUACAAACUGUUCUUAAAAAAAAAGUUGUUACAGUCAUUGAGUGAGUGUUAACCUUUUAGAGGUUCAACUCUAAGAACAAAUAGAUCAUUAUGGAGAAUUCACAGUUAGGUGGAAAUUUAGUUAAGCAAAAUAUGUUUAUCAGCUGCUGUUUUAGAAGAAACUGUGCUAAUCUUGUCAAUUUACAAAAUGGCAAAAAAUACAUUCAUGUUAAAAAAUUUAGAGAGAUUAAACAUUGCAUGCAGGGAAAGACAAAAUCCUUGUGUUAGCUGUUUCUCCUAGCACUGCUCACUAUACCAAGGGUUGUAACAGCAAAAAUGCUCUUCAAAGACAGAGUUAAAGCCUGUAGGUAAUUAAAACAAAUGGAAAAUAUUUUCUAAUUCUGGUAUAAAACAAAGUAGGAUAUUAAAGGAUAAGGAUUACUCUUGCCUUCUUUAAAAAAAAGGACAAAAACUUCCAUUGUGUUUGGCAGGCUUUUCCACUGCCUUUCCAUUGCUUUUUGUUUGACUUGGAUAUUCUGCUACUUCUUUUUCUUCCAGUAUUGAGUAGUUCUUCUGCCUGGACAGAUCUCAAGAUGAACCCUGAGAUGGAUGUGCCACAUGGACAAAAACAAGCACUAUGGCCAAGUGAUGUCCUCUCCUGCACACCUCAGACUCAUUUCCAGUGAGGCUAGCCAUGCGCCUGGGGAGGAAAUGCAGGAACAGCGCAAACUUGGUGGAAGCAGAGUCAUGGGCAUGCACUUCUCACAGCACUCUGCAGAAGUGGCACCAAAUUCUCUCUGGCAGCAGCACCACCCAGCUUGCAGGUACUGCCAUAUAUAGGUGCAAAAUCAGGUUCUCACCAUUUCCUCCCCUGACAGCUUUCAGAUCUCAUUUCAUGUUUUGUCUGCACAUCUCUGAAUGCCUUGAAUACUUCUGCACCUGUAUUUCACAUCCAUGCAUCCAGCCUUGUGCAGAGGAACCCAGUCUUUCAAGCUGCUCAUAGAGAAAGCUCCUGAAGAAGGCAAAGCUUCCAAGAUCUGAAUCAUAGGCACCAGGCAGAAAACAAAGGUGUCCACAAGAUGACUGAUACUGCAAUCAUUGUUCAGUGCACCUUUAGCCUUAGAGGCACUAGGAUAUUUGUCUCCAUACACAAAAGUUAUCAAAAUCAAUUUGAAGCCAUUUAGUAUUUGAUCCUUGCCUUCCAUAUCCACCACUGAUGGUAGUCAGGCAAUGUUGCCUGCAUCGGUUUGUUUUCAGGAUGGAAAUUUACAUAUAGAAAGUGAAUUAAAUGUGACAGCAGAAGAGAAAGAGGAAUCCUAGCAAGCAGGAGCAAUGUGGAGCAGACCAUAACGCUACAGGUGAUCUAGGCCAGCUGAGAACAUGCUAUAAUGGUAACAAGAGCAGUCUCAGCAAGAUUACAACUUUCAGAAAGCAGAUAAAAUUCUAGGCAUGAGCCAUGUCAGAGAGUUGUUUUUUGUCCAUUAAAAGAAAAAAAAAAAAAAAAAAAAGAAAGAAAGAAAGAAAGAAAGAAAAAAAAGCAGGAAAAGGAAAAAAGAAAAAAAAGAAAAAGAAAAGCAGCUGAAGUGGCGAAGAUAGUAUCUGUUAAAUUAAUUACUUUAAAGCACUUAGUCUUCUAUUUUUUCCUAAACAUUUUGUAUUUUUUUGAUGUUUUUUCCUUCACUUGACUCUCAUGUUAUUUCAUUGACAUUUACAGACUGUAUCAAACAGUAGUAACCAAAAAGAACUCACAUAUUCCUACAGCUUUGUUUAAAAGAGCUAAACACCUCUUCUCAUUUCAACUAAAAGUACCCCACUGAAUUUCAAAGAUAGCACCUACCUUACCAGUACCUUAAAUACUGUGAAAUAAACCUCUUUUAAUUACAAAAGAUCAUAUUGAAAUCUGAAAUGGUACUGGUUUUUCAGAUAGCAAUAAAUGCUGUUUAAUAAAUGCUGAGCACAAGAAUAAAAGAUUAGCCAAAAGCAUCCUAAUAUCUUUGAAACAGUAAGUCCAUUUUUUAAUGCACAGACAACUCAUUUAGUGGCAUUUGUAUAAUAAAAUAAAUAGAGUUUUGUAUGCAUUACCAACUACCAUUAAUCAGCUGAGUGAGAAAACAGAGAAAAUAAAUUAAUUUCUUGAGACAGAGAUCCAUCAGUUCAUGUAAAAAGAAAAUUUUGUGGCAAAUGCGUAUUUUCCCACAUCAGUUUAGGAAUUAAAGCUUUAGACAUUGCCACUGCUUCAAAUAUGUUCCACUUGAGAGGAUAGUGUCAAACUUUUCAACAAACUCAUAGGUUUCUCUGGGCUGUGAGGCUUCACGGCUUUGCAGGAUUUUCCACUGUAAAUGCCUCUCUGCUGCUUCCAGGAAGAGUCAAGGUGCUGGAGAACAAUGGCAACAGGGCUUUGCAGGGCACCAGUCAUAGUGCAGUGGGGAGGAACAGGCUGGAACCUGGUUUGCAGGAGUGCAGCUGGAAGCAGUGCAACCAUGCAACUCACUGGGGGCUCAAAGAACUUGUCCUCCAAAGGGUCACUCCUUCACCAGCUGUAGUUACACUCCUCUGAAAGAGGUGGAACCCUGGGACUCUGGGGGCCCUUAGCUUUCCAAAACCCUUGAAGAAGUCAAGCACAGCCUCAUGUGUUUUUCAAUGCUGUUCUUUGGAAAUUUAAUUUCAUUUAAAUGUGCUUAAGGCUUUCUCCCUUCUUGGCUUGCAGAUGCCCAGCUGAUAGGUGUGUCCUUGAAAAGUUGCUCCUGGGCUCUCUGUUUUUGGAGAAUCAUGCUGCAACCUUCAUGCUGGCUCUGCACAGAGCAAAGAGACAGCUGGAAGACACCAGCUAUUACAGUGUCCACAACCACCAAGACAUGGCUCAGCACGGGGACCAUCACCAGAAAGCAUAGUACCAAGUUCCUGGCUAGGAAAACAGCCGUGCUUUACAAUGGAUGGUCUCUUCUCUCCACUCUUCCUGAGUGCAGAAUUCAGCCCACAUAGGAAAGCAGAGAAAUAAGAGAAAAUACAUCCUGCCCCUUAAGAACAAGGACAGCAAAGAACCAUGGUGACAUUUAGCAAACAACCCUCAUUAAAAAGGGCAGACCCAUUUCCUGCCAUGUUUCAUCGUGAGAAAUCCUUCUCUAAACUAAUCCAGAGGGAUGAACUGGCUCGUUUCAGAAAAACAAAAUGACAGUUCUGCAUCCUGUAGGUUCUCUUUUUUAACACACGUUCACACUGCCUCUGGAAGUUCAGGGAGCUAGAUGGGUCCUAAUGCCCCGUUGUUCGCACCAUGAACUGAACUCCUCUCCAUGACUGAGGGAGCCCAGAAUUUGCAUACUGUUGAGGACCAGUCAUCUCAGUGCUAUUUGUCAGUCCAUGAUGUCAGUGGAGCGCUACACAGCACACAGAUGUGGGCCUGGUCCUCCACAAAGGAAUAAAUUCCAUCUCACUUCAUGACUUGAAAGCCUCUCACAAAAAGCAGGAGAGGGAGGAAGGAGGGUGCUUCCAGCAUGCAAGAGGCAAGUCUCCAGAGUGCUCACACAAAGUAUCCCAUAACCCCACAUAUCCCACGCGAGGUGGUCCACCUGAGCGUGUUAUCCCCAAAGCACAAGGUCACUUGAUGGGCAGGGCUCCCAGCUAAGAGCAGCCCUGCACAAAAUGGUCUCCCUGCUCCACAGUGCAGACACCAGGAAGGAGGAAUAUCUGAGGAUCAGGAAAGGUGAGGGGAGUGGAGCUGUUUGGGUUGGGGCAGAUCAGUCAAUCACAAUCAUUUGCAGCUGUCAGAUGAAAUGAUCAGCCCAUGCAUCACAUGUGCUAGCCAGGUCAGUCAAUUCACUUAUGGGAUGUACAUAGACAUGAUAACAAGAAAAAGUAAAAUAUGAGCUGAACAGGAAGAAACCUAGUGCAACAGGAAUCUCAAAUUUCCUUUAGAGCUGUCUCAGUCCUUAGGGCAGCCUGGGCUCUAGAAUGACACAGCACCUGCUCUUUCUGAUCCCCAUCUUACCACCCCCCACAUCACUUGCACAAACAGCAGAACAAGAUUUGGUCACAAACAUCUAAGACACAAACACACAACAGUACAACACUGCUUGUGUGUCAUUCCCUACACAGCUUUCUAACAGGGUAACGAUUUUAUAGAGACUGAGUAUCAGUCCAUAGGAAUUUCUAAAAAGAGCUUGAAAGUGUUGAUACUCUUCAUAAAGGAGAACAUGCAACAGGGACACAGAUUCCAUUGUUAGAUUAUCCUCUAUGUCAGUAGCCCUGAUGCUGCUAUCACAGAAUUAUUGCAUUAUGUAAGUGAACGGUAUGUCCUGUUAUUUUAGGUAAUCUUGAAAUUUAGUUUACAGUGUAGUUCAUGACAGUAUUUCAUUCUCCUGAACUUAAAAAUACAUUUUGUUGCAUAAAUACAUUUCUGAAAAUAAAACAAGCUGCUUGUGACACCCAGGCAUCACAGACUUCAGUUUCCAUUAACUGCAUGAAGACAUGUAACAUUGUGCAAAACCACAACAUCAUAAAUACAUGCACGGAUGACUAAAAAAACAGAGCUUACACCAUCCAAAGUGUCCACAGCUCUGCCCACCUACAUGUGCAAUCAUGUGAACAGAUCCAAAUGCAUGUAAUGUGCACAGCUGCAUCCAGAUCAGUCCAGUGACAUCCACAUAUAAUCCCCAUGUUUGACUCUUAUUGUGGUGUCCUGAGAAGGCCAUGUGGGAAAGUCAGCACUAAGAUUAGUGCAGACCCCUUUGCACCGUGUAGGCCUGUGCUUUGGCACUCAGCCUCUUAUCUUAAGUUCAAGACCAAAUUUUGCUCUUGGUAGCACUGAGAAAAUCUCCCCAAAGCCAGUAGAUAAUUCUGAAGGCAUCUAAUAUAUCUACAAAUGAUCCAGAAGAGUCAGAAUUUGCAUUAUCCUUUUGAUGGGUUUCUAACGGGAUGAAGUAUCUGAGCCAGGCUAAUGACUCUGUGAUGCUGGUAGACAAACACCAUCCUCUGUCUCCCCAAGAGGGUCUGCACCUCAAUUUUUUAGCAGAUUCAGCUCAGUACAUUGACAGAAAAUUAUCUGACUUCCCCCUUCUUUUUGCUGUGUUUUCUGCUGGGGAGCUGAGUUGAAAUCACUCACUGAUGAGAUCUAACAUCAAGUCAAAGAAAGGAGAGUGGCAUUAAAAAAAAGGAAGGAAAAAGAAAAGAGAAAAGCAAGCCCCAUUUUGGAGCCAGCUAUCUUCAUCUUAGGGAAAUCACAGCCUCACUAUGGGGCAAAAGCUCAGCUUUUACUUCAGAGUAUGAUGUAGGCAGGAGUGCAGCCACCCACCUGCAGUACCUCACUGUAGCCACUGCACCCAAGUACCAUCAUACAGCCUGUUCUGGACAGGAGCAGGACACUGUUUUGCCAGCUGCCCUUGAGUUCAUGGUAAGAGGUUCUCAGUAACAAGAGCCAAGGCUGUAAACCAUCAUUCUUUGUUUAGGCAGAUGGACAGGAAGGUAAGACUUGGCAGCACUAGUCCCUGGCCACACUGCUGUAUCUUAGCACCAGGGAAACUGCACACCAUCGCUGUGAGCUUGCAACUUGCUGCCAAAGCAGGUGUGAUACCCUCAGUCAAAACUGCAAAAAACUUUGAGUUGUCCUCUUUCGCCUAAAAUAAAGAGUUAUGAUACCAGUAUUAGACAAAACCACCAGAGCAGUUCAAACCCACCAAGACUCCCUCCCAGACAGUUAAUUACCUUUCACAGCCUUAAUACAAAUGGUAAUUAGAUAAACGGGGUUCACUUAAUUCCUUUAACUGUUCACAAAUAAAGACUGAAUAAUAGGUUGUAUUAAAUGCCCUUCAAAACUAGUAAUCUUAUUUUUGUAGUAUAUUACUUGAGUAUUAUAUUUUGUCCAUAUGUGUUUAACUUCUUCAGCAAGUAGUCUGUGUGGGACUGCCUCACCAGAACUUACCAGGCAACCUGUCAUCAGCAGUGCUGGAGUUACUACAGACAUCACAAAGCAGAACAAAACUAUUCCUAUAAUCACAGAAUCAGAGUAUGGGUAAGGUUGGAAGGAACCACAGUGUGUUACCUGUUUCAAGCUCCCUGUUCAAGCAGGGUCAUACUAAAGCACACAACACAGGAUUGUUUUGCACAUAAUUUUCAAGUAUCUCCAGAGAGGGUGAGUCUUCUCGGGGCAAUCUGUUCCAGUGUGUGAUUAGAGAGAUGCCCCAGUGCCUUAAUCAUCUUUGUUGCCCUCCCCUGGACCUACUCCAGAGCUUCAUGUCUCUUUUGUAUUAAGGAGCCCAGAACUGGACACAGCAUUCCAGGUGAGGCUUCACCAGGGCUGAGUAGAGGGGCAGGAUCACCUGCCUCAACCUGCUGGCAGUGCUCUUCAUAAUACAGCCUAGGAUACCACUGGCCUUCUUGGCCACCAGGGCACUGCUGGCUCAUGGAGAGCUUGUUGUCCACCUGGUUCCUUCUCCACAGAGCUGCUUCCCAGCAGGUCACCCCAGGCUGUGCUGGUGCCUGGGGUUGUUCCUCCCCAGGUGCAGGAUCCUGCAUUUGCCUUUGCUGAAUUUCAGAGGGUUCCUCUGUGCCCAUCUCUCCAGGCUGUCAAGGUCCUUCUGAAGGACCUGGGGUACAUGGAGUAUCAGCCACUGGGGUAUCAGCCACUCCUCCCAGCUUUGUGUUGUCAGUGAAAUUGCUGAGGAGGCCUCUGCCCCUUCAUCCAAGUCAUUGAUGGAUAAGUUAAACAAGACUGGGCCCACUAUUGGACCAUGGGAGACACCACUAGGAACAGGCCUCCUGAGCCUGUGCCACUGUGCCACAGAUCUGGGAUCUGCUGUUCAGCCAGUUCUCAAUCAACCUCCCCAUCCUCCCAUUCAUUCACUCUUUCUGAGUUUGCCUGUGAGAGACAGUGUCAAAAGCCUCACUGAAGUUGAGGUAGACAAGAUUGCUGCGCUCCCCUCAUCCAUUCACAUAGUUGUUUAAUUGUAAAAGGCAAAUCAGGUUCGUCAAGCAUGAUUUGCUUUUAGUGAAUCCAUGCUGACUAUCCUGAUCACCUUUUUCUGUGGAUAGAAGUGGCCUCCAGAAUGAGGCAUUUCCUCACCUUUCCAGGGAUUGGGGUGUGGUUAAUCAGCCAGUAAUUUCCUGGGCUCUCUUUUUUCCUUUUGAGCACUGGGGUGACAUUUGCUUUCUUUGAUCUGCAGGCACCUCUCCAUGACCUUUCAAAGGUGAUCAUGAGUAGCCUCAGCUGUGGGGUCCACCACAUUUCUAAGCACUUGUGGAUGCAUCCCGUUAGGGUCCAUGGACUUCUGGAUGUCUUCAACAUUUCUCCCUCCUUGACCUCCCUUCUAACAUUCCUUUACUCUGGCUUCCUGGGACAGAGAUCCCUGAGCGCUGGUGUUGCCAGUGAAGACCAUUGCAAAGGCAGUGCUCAGUAAUGCUGCCUUCUCUACGUCCUCUGUUACCAGGGCCCCUCCUUCAUUUAGUAAUAGGCCCAUAUUAUCCUUUCUUUUCCUUUUGUUAUUGAGGUAUUUGCAGACAUCCUUCUUGUUGUCCUUGGUGUCCUUGACCAGAUUUAAUUAAAGUUGGGCCCUGGCCUCCCUCAUGGUAAUACUGAGGCUAUCACAAUAAGUACACACACUCCAGUGCUAAUCCCCUAACCAGACAAGCAAAGGUUGCUCAUGUGCCCUGCUAAAGUCAAGGUACAAGAGAUGUGGCCUCACUGCUGCUGGACAUCAGCACAAAUCAUCCUAAUACUGUGGUAAUCAACAAUUUAGGCAGCAUGUAGAGUUAAAAAGUAAUGGGAAAUGCUUCUUUUGACCUCUCAGCUCAAAACCCAGAAGUGCCAGUCUUCUUUGUGUUGAGGCUGAAUUAAAGCACUGAUGUGAAGCAACACUUCAAAGAGCUGCUUGCAGCACAGCACGUGCCCAGCCAGGGACCAGCCUCCUCAGAGUAAAGGGGUGGGCUGGGCAGGGGAGGAGAGGUGGGAAACAGAGAUCUGCUGCCCCACAAAGGCCAGCUGAUACCCAUCUCCUCACUGCAGAACAGGAAAGGAAAUACAGGGAACUAUGUCAGAUACUGCAAUAGCUGUCACUGGGAAGUGUUGAGAUGAGUACUGGAGGGGAGAAACAGAAUCCAGACUUCCCUAGAGGUCAACUCUAUGGUCGAGCUCUCCUCACCUGGUACUUUGAGAAAGAUCUUUGGCACCGAAUGCUCACACUCCAGCACAUACUAAGCUCCAUGAGUCCUCAGAGGAAACCUGUUAAGAAAUCCCAGAACAACACCUGUCUUGCAAAACUAUUUGUCACUGUAUCACACUAAAAGCACUGUUGUGAAAAGGCAAGGCAGUACAAAGAGCAAUCAGAUGUCUGGCCUCAUCUGGAAACUGGGCAACUGUCUUUCUGGCUUCACUUGAAAUCUGUGUUUCUGUCUCCUUCACUGACAAGUCAGAUAUGCCAUGGCACUGCAAGUCACAUACAUGCCUUGCCAUCACUUCAGCAGAGUCAUAAUUUGGCCUCAAGACCCAAAGCCAAGUUACAAAAGGAGGGCUCUAUAAUAUGAACAACUGCUUGUGCCCACUAAUCCAGUACCUACCCUGAGACACAGCGGAUGGCAAAUGGAAGACUGUAGAAUUGGUGGCAACACUAACAUGGAGUGUCAGACACAGGAAACCAGACUUUUUACCAGCCUUGCUACAUGUGGAAAAAAGAGAUCACAGCCAGGUUGUGUCACCUGCAUAAAGCUUCCCGGGAGGACAGAUAUUUAUUAUAGUGGAAAUCUCUACCUUUAGACUUUUCAGUGCCACAUCUGCUACCUAUUUCAUCCCCAAAACAUACCUUCAGUAAGGCUUAAGUGAGGUGCAGACACUCUGCCACCUCCCUCUCACACAGGAAUAUUUC